CUUAAGAAUGUGUUGGCAGCAUGACCCUGACCACUAACAUAUAAAUAAUGGGUUACGCUCCUGUGCAGUUGUUGUCCUCUGUUCUCAUCAGUAGCCUCUGUCUCCACUGGUUUUUAAAGGCAGCUAAAUCCACCAUUCAGGUGGAACAUUGUCUGUGGUAAACUCCUCCAAAAGCCAUUUCAGCUCACAGGUGUCAUCUGAGAUCUUCCAGGAUGUCUAGACGCAGCUGGUAAAUGUGGCAUAGGACCUGUAGCAGAGCUGUUCACGUCAGGAACUUGUAGGGGAGGCUGUCUAAGGGAUUCUGAGGCUUAUGAAGAUUAGGAAAAUGCCUGUGAUGCUCAGAUAUAAUAUCAAACAAGUAUCUAAAGGCACAAUAAUCUAGCAAAGAAUGUAUCUUGCACU
Molecule: non-coding RNA, 402 nt
Organism: Cyanistes caeruleus (blue tit)
Lineage: Eukaryota; Metazoa; Chordata; Aves; Passeriformes; Paridae
Source: RefSeq, a predicted model, not a curated record